Molecule: ribosomal RNA, 468 nt
Filed under: uncultured bacterium
Lineage: Bacteria
Description: partial 16S ribosomal RNA
Rfam family: Bacterial small subunit ribosomal RNA
Source: RNAcentral
GACGAACGCUGGCGGCGUGCUUAACACAUGCAAGUCGAACGGAAAGGCCCUGCUUUUGUGGGGUGCUCGAGUGGCGAACGGGUGAGUAACACGUGAGUAACCUGCCCUUGACUUUGGGAUAACUUCAGGAAACUGGGGCUAAUACCGGAUAGGAGCUCCUGCUGCAUGGUGGGGGUUGGAAAGUUUCGGCGGUUGGGGAUGGACUCGCGGCGUAUCAGCUUGUUGGUGGGGUAGUGGCUUACCAAGGCUUUGACGGGUAGCCGGCCUGAGAGGGUGACCGGCCACAUUGGGACUGAGAUACGGCCCAGACUCCUACGGGAGGCAGCAGUGGGGAAUAUUGCACAAUGGGCGGAGGCCUGAUGCAGCAACGCCGCGUGCGGGAUGACGGCCUUCGGGUUGUAAACCGCUUUCGCCUGUGACGAAGCGUGAGUGACGGUAAUGGGUAAAGAAGCACCGGCUAACUACGUG